GAUCUCUCAACAGUGCAACAACUAACCAGUGAAAGGACUAAGUGCUCGAACAAGGACUAAGUGAGCAAACAAGGAUUCAGUGUUCGCAAACGGAUUAAGUUAGUUCUACGAAAGUUCUCAAAAUCAGUGUUCAUACUCUGAGUGCUCUCAAAGGAGUUGCACCAGCCCCUUGCUAUAUUCUAAGAGUGCGCUCAAGAAAGCCGCACCUGUCAGCUUUAUUCUACUCUUCCUGGUCGCGCUCAAGAAAGUCGCGCCGGAUUUCCUUUCUAGCUGAGUGCGCUCAAGAAAGUCGCACCAGUUACUACCUGUCGCGUCGUUUCUUCCCUUCGCUUGGAGUGCGCUCGAGAAAGUCGCACCGGCAGCUCAAGUCUACCUGCGAUGAAGGUAAAUCAAGGUAAACGCAGUCGCAGACCCACUCGUCGAGGUGGUGUUAAGCAACGAGCUAGG
Osmia lignaria (orchard mason bee) is the source of this 447-nucleotide non-coding RNA. The record is from RefSeq and is a predicted model, not a curated record. NCBI's taxonomy places the organism in Eukaryota, Metazoa, Arthropoda, Insecta, Hymenoptera, Megachilidae.